GUCGACGGCAAAGUUCCAGAGUGUCAUUCUCUGUCUGAUGGUCAUGAUGUUCAGCCAAAACCAAGCAGCUCUGCUCCUCAUUGUGCUGCUAGCGCACCGUGUCUUUGCAGGGUCUGAAACUGAUGACCACAGGGAUAUGCUGGUAUCCAGAGGAGACUCAGUCACGUUCCACUGCAACGUAUCCACAGAAAAUGCUUCGGAAAUGACCUGGAACUUUAAAAGAUUCAUUUAUAAACAUUCUAUCCUGAUAAAUCAGACUUUUUCAAAUGUAUCCUCUGACAGACUGAGAAUAGAUCCUUUAAAGUUAAAUAUUUUCAGUGCUCAACCUGAAGAUGCAGGACUUUAUUCAUGUAGUGUAACUUCCAGACGAGGCUUAAACAGUGUUUCCUGGACUUUAACUGUGUCUGAUGACAUUGAAGAAACCAGUUCAUCGUGGUAUUUACUAUACGUACUCACACCUGCAACUUUAUUGCUUCUAUGUGGCAUCGUAUCAGCCGUCUGCCU
Molecule: long non-coding RNA, 504 nt
Organism: Mugil cephalus (flathead mullet)
Lineage: Eukaryota; Metazoa; Chordata; Actinopteri; Mugiliformes; Mugilidae
Exons: 3
Source: RefSeq, a predicted model, not a curated record